AUCUACGGUUUAAUUCGCUAACUUUUUGGUUAUCUACUCUUCUUUGUACGUUUAGCCUGAUAUUCUUGUGGUAAUGAAUGAAUACUUAAAUUUUUGGAAAUGAAUAUGAUUAGAUUAUAUGGCGCAGUACAACAAAUAGAUUUAAAAUAACUCAUACAGUAUAUUAAAAAGAAAAUCAAACGUAAAGGCUUCGGGAUAUAAAGUGAUCAAAUUUCUAAGAAAAAAAAGCGUUAGCAUUCGAGGAGGGUAAGUAUGAUUAGAUGUUUACUUGAAAUUAGAGUGUUAAAAAAUAUGGCUUUAUAUCAAAUAAAAUAUCGUUGCAAAACCGUGCAAUGCUUCGUCAAAUUGACAUUCACCUAGACUUUACUAGUUUCAUUCGCGUAUUAGAUUUCCUGUUAACUCAAAUAGAACGAUAAUAUUCUGGUACCGUAGCAAUUCAUAAAAUUAAAUUCGGCGGAAUAACGAAAGUUGUAAUUAUUAAGUCCUAACGUCU
Schizosaccharomyces pombe (fission yeast) is the source of this 493-nucleotide non-coding RNA. The record is from the annotation of a GenBank genome assembly. Lineage: Eukaryota; Fungi; Ascomycota; Schizosaccharomycetes; Schizosaccharomycetales; Schizosaccharomycetaceae.